AAAUAUAUAUAUAUAUAUAUAUACUCAUGUUUCAAAAAUCACAAUUAAAUCAAGUUCUCAAUCGAAAAGCAGACUGGACUUGGUUGAGCCUUAAGGAGGUAGCAAAAGCGAGUUGCCAUGCAUCCCACAUCCAAUCAAGACACUCAAAAAACUAAACCCAUCAAAACGCACUCAAGGGCUGAACUGCUCAACCAUGACCCCAAAAAAUUAAAUGAAAUAGGAUGAUAAACGAAGCCAAUCGGGUAUUGGAUAAAACUUUCAAGAAAAUAUUAGAGAAAUAAGGAAACAGAAACAGUUACAAAACCUGAAAGAUACACCACAAAAUCAAAAUCUGAAGAAAGACCGAGCAAAAAAACUCUCCCCCCUUUUGUUUCCACGACUAAACAUUUAUUUGUUUUGAAUAAGUUUCAGAGAGAAGUUAUGAAAGUUAAUAUUACCAUUUUCGUGUGUCAACCACAUUAGAACUACCAUAGCUACAUGUUUCGUCAGUGUGUGUAUUUCCAUGAACGUAGAUGCCUGUGUGUGUGGUCACUAACUCCCAAUCCCAACGCAGACAUUCAAAAGAUAUUCACUGCUCAUCUAGAAAUAAAUUUACUAGUAUCUUCCAAAAUGCAUAUGGACACAGUCUCAAGCAAUCUGAAGCAAAUAAAAUUGGCAAUUUUCUAACAGAAGCACACCAUAGUCUCUACUAAUUGCCCCAUAAUUAUCAAAAAACACAAUUCAUUUUCAUCCUAACGAAGGCGUCCAUUCAUAGAUUUGUGUAAUUCUUGUAACUGCAACGCUGUUGUAUCAUCCCUCAUUAUCAUAACCUCCCCAGUUUGCGCAAAUCCUGCAUAACUGCAUUAUUUAACGUUUGCCGCGAUGCCCGCCACCUGACCUCGCACCAGGAUAGCGAGCAAAUUGCAACCUUAAAUGGACCGAGUCACGGUCAUGCUCGUCAAAUUUAUAACCUGCAAAAUCCAGCUCGACUAUUUACGCCGCACAACUGACUGCGCUUUGCACGCCGAAUUAGGGAGCAGAUAGAGCAUAUAAAACGUUCAAAUUAUCUACCGCAAGUUCACACUCGACAUUUACCAAAUGUUCAUCAUUACUUUUGAAACGCACUAAGUCGUAAAUGUCGAGCCACCAAUUAUACCUGAUUGAAAAAGGCAUUGCAAAAGAGGAAUGGACAAUAUAGCUUUUCUGCUUCCUAAGGUAACUUACCAACAACCUUUGUUUCUGCCCAUGCAUGAUAGAGGGAGAAAUUAGCUAGCCCCUUUGCUUAACAUGGCAGAAGGAGAUCAGAAAAUGAUGAGGCUAAAGAAUAAGAUAACAGCAAGAUUUAGAUUCCAGCUAAACCCUCGACUGAACAUAUAAUCGGACAGACCCCAAAUAUUUUAAGUAGCAUGCCUGACUAGUUCUUUAUGAUCCAUUGAAUCCAAGUACACACACACAAGAGAGAGAAAGAGAGAGUAUCCCACCAACAACAUCCAUCAACCACCUGCAUUCUUAACAAGAUGUAUUGCUAACAAUCUUGUUAUUAGUUAAUUAUUUAGUGUGACCCCCACGCUCUGGCGUUUUAGGUAAGAAUUGAAUCUCAAAGCCAGCUAACAUUACCAAAGGUCUUUAAUAGCACAAAAUUCAGCCUAGUUGUAGGCAUUAAACCACCACUAAAGCUGCUAUACAACACAACAAAUAACCUCCACCCAGUGCAGAAAGCAAUAAACAACCAGAAAGAGAAACGAUGGAUAUGCAAAAUUACAAUACCUAUAAGGGGUAAAAACAGUAAAGUAUGUUAAGCUCACCUUGCAAGGCAUCCAUUGCAGUGGCAGCAUGGGCAGGACUCAAAAAGUCAACAAAACAAAGUACUAGUGGAUCUCCCCCCGGGCGUCUUGAUUCCUUGCUCACAAGUCUCACUUCUUUGUAGCCAACAAAAGGGCGAAAGAUAUGUGACACCUCCCGUCGCGUACAAUCAGAUGGCAAGCCCUCUACAAACAGUGUACUGGUAGCAUCAGGAGGCAGUGGGGCCUCAGGUCUGCCACUUCCCAAUCCCAUUGUCCUGUCUUUUACAGUAGCCCCUGGGUCCAGUCUCCCAAUACCUACAACACGCGAAUCAUCAACAGGACGACUAGGCACUCCACUUAUUGGUCUAGCAGACUGUCCUCCACUGUAGGCCGACAUAGGCGUGCCACGAAGGUAUCGAUCAUAGGAUACUCCGAUGGAAUCUGAAUCUCUAACUGCACGGAGAGCCGCUCUGUCAUCAUCACGGGGAUAAUAAUUGGGCAGCUCAUGGCCACUAGGGACAUCAUAGUCUGAGCGAGGACGUUUUCCAACGAGAGUAGGAAUGGCCUGCUGUUGCUGCUGCCGUGCUUCGCUGUAUCUCCAAUACGCAUCGGCCAUAGCUUGAUGAGAAGUUUUGAGAGAGAGACAGAGAGAGAGAGAGCACCGAGAGGAAGUUGCUAUGGCUGCUAGGAGGAUAUCUAGUUUGCUCUCUCGUUCCUUCACUUCUGGUUCUGUUUCUGCUCUGUUUUCAGGAGGGAGGAAUUCUAGCCUUGGUAGAGGAAUCAGCAGAUAUAACAGUACCACUGCAGCUGCUACUGCUGCUGAGGGACCAAUAAUUCCUUCUGUAGCUGUGAAUUAUACUCAACUUUUAAUUAAUGGGCAGUUCGUUGAUGCGGCCUCAGGGAAGACUUUUCCAACAUAUGAUCCUAGGACUGGGGAAGUGAUCGCCCAUGUUGCUGAAGGUGAUCUUGACGAUAUAAAUCGAGCAGUCUCUGCUGCUCGCAAGGCAUUUGAUGAAGGACCAUGGCCAAAGAUGACUGCUUAUGAAAGGUCAAGGAUUAUGUUACGCUUUGCUGAUUUAAUUGAUAAGCAUAAUGAUGAAAUUGCAACACUCGAGACUUGGGAUAAUGGGAAACCAUAUGAGCAGGCUGCUAAAAUCGAAGUACCAAUGGUUGCACGUCUAUUUCGAUACUAUGCUGGUUGGGCGGAUAAGAUUCAUGGUCUUGUAGUUCCAGCUGAUGGGCAGCAUCAUGUGCAAACCUUGCAUGAACCAAUUGGUGUUGCAGGUCAGAUUAUUCCAUGGAAUUUUCCUCUUCUCAUGUUUGCUUGGAAGGUCGGACCAGCAUUAGCGUGUGGCAACACUGUCGUCAUCAAGACAGCAGAGCAGACACCAUUAACUGCUCUCUAUGCUGCUAAGCUACUUCAUGAGGCUGGACUUCCAGAAGGUGUUCUGAAUGUGAUUUCUGGCUUUGGUCCAACUGCUGGUGCAGCUCU
Molecule: unclassified non-coding RNA, 3255 nt
Filed under: Hevea brasiliensis (rubber tree)
Lineage: Eukaryota; Viridiplantae; Streptophyta; Magnoliopsida; Malpighiales; Euphorbiaceae
Source: RNAcentral